RNAcentral lists this ribosomal RNA (447 nucleotides) under uncultured bacterium. RNAcentral's name for it is "partial 16S ribosomal RNA". It matches the Rfam family "Bacterial small subunit ribosomal RNA", at positions 29 to 523 of the family's 1533-position model. The record is from RNAcentral.
AACGAACGCUGGCGGCAGGCCUAAAACAUGUAAGUCGAACGAACCUUCGGGUUAGUGGCGCACGGGUGAGUAACACAUGGGAAUGUGCCACUGGGUGCGGAACAACGUCGGGAAACUGACGCUAAUACCGCAUAAUGUCUACGGACCAAAGAUUGAUUGCCCAGAGAUCAGCGCGCGUCUGAUUAGCUAGUUGGUGAGGUAAUGGCUCACCAAGGCGACGAUCAGUAGCUGGUCUGAGAGGAUGAUCAGCCACAGUGGAACUGAGACACGGUCCAGACUCCUACGGGAGGCAGCAGUUAGGAAUAUUGGACAAUGGGGGCAACCCUGAUCCAGCCAUGCCGCGUGUGUGAAGAAGGCCUUAGGGUUGUAAAGCACUCUCGGCUGUGAAGAUAAUGACAGUAGCAGAAGAAGAAGCUCCGGCUAAAUUCGUGCCAGCCGCCGCCGUAA